Non-coding RNA from Chaetura pelagica (chimney swift), 46 nucleotides. The record is from Rfam. NCBI's taxonomy places the organism in Eukaryota, Metazoa, Chordata, Aves, Apodiformes, Apodidae.
AAAGAGGCUCUUUUAAGAGCCACAGAUGAUGGUCAGUCUAGACCAA